This is a non-coding RNA of Phlyctochytrium arcticum, 73 nucleotides long. The record is from the annotation of a GenBank genome assembly. Lineage: Eukaryota; Fungi; Chytridiomycota; Chytridiomycetes; Chytridiales; Chytridiaceae.
GCCUCUAUAGCUCAGUUGGGAGAGCGUUAGACUGAAGAUCUAAAGGUCACCCGUUCAAUCCGGGUUGGGGGCA